This 736-nucleotide ribosomal RNA is filed under the name uncultured bacterium. RNAcentral's name for it is "bacterial SSU rRNA". It matches the Rfam family "Bacterial small subunit ribosomal RNA", at positions 28 to 777 of the family's 1533-position model. The record is from RNAcentral.
GACGAACGCUGGCGGCGCGCCUAACACAUGCAAGUCGAACGAGCGAGAGAGAGCUUGCUUUCUCGAGCGAGUGGCGAACGGGUGAGUAACGCGUGAGGAACCUGCCUCAAAGAGGGGGACAACAGUUGGAAACGACUGCUAAUACCGCAUAAGCCCACGACCCGGCAUCGGGUAGAGGGAAAAGGAGCAAUCCGCUUUGAGAUGGCCUCGCGUCCGAUUAGCUAGUUGGUGAGGUAAUGGCCCACCAAGGCGACGAUCGGUAGCCGGACUGAGAGGUUGAACGGCCACAUUGGGACUGAGACACGGCCCAGACUCCUACGGGAGGCAGCAGUGGGGAAUAUUGCACAAUGGGGGAAACCCUGAUGCAGCGACGCCGCGUGGAGGAAGAAGGUCUUCGGAUUGUAAACUCCUGUUGUUGAGGAAGAUAAUGACGGUACUCAACAAGGAAGUGACGGCUAACUACGUGCCAGCAGCCGCGGUAAAACGUAGGUCACAAGCGUUGUCCGGAAUUACUGGGUGUAAAGGGAGCGCAGGCGGGAAGACAAGUUGGAAGUGAAAUCCAUGGGCUCAACCCAUGAACUGCUUUCAAAACUGUUUUUCUUGAGUAGUGCAGAGGUAGGCGGAAUUCCCGGUGUAGCGGUGGAAUGCGUAGAUAUCGGGAGGAACACCAGUGGCGAAGGCGGCCUACUGGGCACCAACUGACGCUGAGGCUCGAAAGUGUGGGUAGCAAACAGGA